CACCUGCCCUCUGCACGUGGGCUGUGAGGAUGGGUAGCCCAGGGCAGGGGUCAGGAACC
This 59-nucleotide non-coding RNA is filed under the name Sus scrofa (pig). Lineage: Eukaryota; Metazoa; Chordata; Mammalia; Artiodactyla; Suidae. The record is from RNAcentral.